This 253-nucleotide ribosomal RNA is filed under the name uncultured bacterium. RNAcentral describes it as "partial 16S ribosomal RNA". It matches the Rfam family "Bacterial small subunit ribosomal RNA", at positions 524 to 776 of the family's 1533-position model. The record is from RNAcentral.
UACGUAGGGUGCAAGCGUUGUCCGGAACUAUUGGGCGUAAAGAGCUCGUAGGCGGCUUGUCACGUCUGCUGUGAAAACUCGGGGCUCAACCCCGAGCCUGCAGUGGAUACGGGCUAGCUAGAGUGCGGUAGGGGAGACUGGAAUUCCUGGUGUAGCGGUGAAAUGCGCAGAUAUCAGGAGGAACACCGGUGGCGAAGGCGGUUCUCUGGGCCUGACCUGACGCUGAGGAGCGAAAGCGUGGGGAGCGAACAGG